RNAcentral lists this long non-coding RNA (1395 nucleotides) under Equus caballus (horse). Its description in RNAcentral is "lncRNA (ENSECAG00000048749.1)". The record is from RNAcentral. Lineage: Eukaryota; Metazoa; Chordata; Mammalia; Perissodactyla; Equidae.
GGGUAAAAGUAAGUGCUGUAAUUAGGCUGUUAGUGGUAAGGAGUGGGUGGAGGAGAGGUGAUCUAGAGUCUUAUGAGUAGGUCUUGGUCUUUAGUGAGCCUGCACCAUCAAAAUGUGAACUUUACACAUGCUUCUCAGUUGUUUGCCCCCCUUCAUUAGGAUGGCUAGAGUGGGAUGUCAUUGGGUAUGAACCUUCUUCCAUGCAGAAGGCUGGAGAGGGCAGGAGUUGGGUUUUCCCUUCCCGAGGUCAAUUAAGCUCUGAUUAACACCAGCUGGUUAGGCUCUAGCUAAAUAUUUCCACCUGAGGACAGACAUUUUUUAAGAAAAGCCGGGUGCUCUGAUGAAUUUCAAAAUGAUUCCUUUUCCUCUCCACCUGUCAGAAGCACAAGAGGAUCUUUCUCCAAUAUUCAUCGUGAGAACCUCAUCCAGCUCCUGGAGUUAUGGCCUCGAAUCUGAUUGAUAGAUAGAUCGAGAAAUAGACACACACUUUGGACACCAAAAUGCAAUUUGAAGUGUCUCCCUACUCACACAAUUACAGGCAUGAUGGAGUUAGCCUCAUCACACAUCAAGAUAACUAAAGACAAAUGUCUUUUUGUUGUGUGAAUGAGCCUUCUGGCUUUGAACUAACGUCUGGUAAUGUCUGGCUGGGUCAUAUGUACUGUAGUGACAAGAAAAUCUCAAGACUUCUGCUUCUAACGAUGAUGGAGUAUUGGACUUCCCCUAGUGCUAGAAAUCAUUAGGAAACUGGACAGAAUAUGUAAAGCGGCUCUGUUCACAUAUGGAUAACCUGCAGGACCAGCUGUGGUCAAUGAAAAAAGGGUACACAAAUGAAGUUCACGCAACAGCAGCUCCUGCUUUCUGCUGGGGAGAAACGGAAGAUAUCAAAAUAAAAAGAAUUUCUAGAGACCAGAAAUACAACUGAAAUAAAAAUUUUUCAAGAUGAGGUAAACAUCAGAUUACAUUAGAUAAACAUCCGCAGAAGAUCAGUGAACCUGAAAAAAAAUACAGCAAUAGAAACUAUCCAAACUGAAGCAGAGAAUUAAAAAGACUGUAAAAGAAGAAAAGAAACAGGACUCAGUGGCCCGUGGGAUAAUAUCAAACAACCUGAGUUCCAUGUAACAGAGGCCUUCUUGUGCAGAAGCCAGGCAGAUAAGAGGGCUGUGGAGCAAUGGACUAAAGAUAGAGCAAAGACAAGUAAGGCGUAUAUAAAUACCCUUUUUCAUGGAAAAAUCUGCCAAGUUGCUUAAUUUUCAUGGUGUGAAUAGGAAUGUGAGGAGGAAGAAUGAAUGAGGAAUAAAAAAGAUUCUGCAAAUGAGAAAAAUAGGUAUGGAGUAAUAUUCUUAAUAUAGAUUAUAAUUUCAUAAUGAAAAUGGCAAAGAAACAAUUGUGGUAUGG